CCCUUAGAUGUCCUGGGCCGCACGCGUGCUACACUGACGCCUACAGCGAGUACUUCCCAGCCCCGAGAGGUGGCUGGUAAUCAGCAAUAGGCGUCGUGAUGGGGAUAGAUCUUUGGAAUUAUGGAUCUUGAACGAGGAAUGCCUAGUAAGCGCAGGUCAUUAGCCUGCGCUGAUUAAGUCCCUGCCCUUUGUACACACCGCCCGUCGCUCCUACCGAUUUCGAGUGGUCCGGUGAAUCUUUCGGACUGCGCGCGGCCUCGUGCCGUGUCGCGGAAAGUCAGGUAAACCUUAUCACUUAGAGGAAGGAGAGGUCGUAACA
Molecule: ribosomal RNA, 319 nt
Filed under: uncultured eukaryote
Lineage: Eukaryota
Description: partial 18S ribosomal RNA
Rfam family: Eukaryotic small subunit ribosomal RNA
Source: RNAcentral